Molecule: small nuclear RNA, 102 nt
Filed under: Dasypus novemcinctus (nine-banded armadillo)
Lineage: Eukaryota; Metazoa; Chordata; Mammalia; Cingulata; Dasypodidae
Source: RNAcentral
UUGCUUUGGCAGCACAUCCACUAAAACUGGAACACACAGAGAAGAUUAGCAUGGCCCCUGCGCAAGGAUGACAUGCAAAGUUGUGACGCGGUCCCUACUUUC